Molecule: long non-coding RNA, 640 nt
Filed under: Salmo salar (Atlantic salmon)
Lineage: Eukaryota; Metazoa; Chordata; Actinopteri; Salmoniformes; Salmonidae
Description: lncRNA (ENSSSAG00000111410.1)
Source: RNAcentral
CUUCACCCUGUCUGUCUCUGACCACUAGGCCUAUCAGAUGGACCAAUAGAGGCCCUCUCCUUCACCCUGUCCGUCUCUGACCACUAGGCCUAUCAGAUGGACCAAUAGAGGCCCUCUCCUUCACCCUGUCUGUCUCUGACCACUAGGCCUAUCAGAUGGACCAAUAGAGGCCCUCUCCUUCACCCUGUCUGUCUCUGACCACUAGGCCUAUCAGAUGGACCAAGAGAGGCCCUCUCCUUCACCCUGUCCGUCUCUGACCACUAGGCCUAUCAGAUGGACCAAGAGAGGCCCUCUCCUUCACCCUGUCUGUCUCUGACCACUAGGCCUAUCAGAUGGACCAAUAGAGGCCGUCUCCUUCACCCUGUCUGUCUCUGACCACUAGGCCUAGCAUAUGGACCAAGAGAGGCUCUGAAUUAUUUUAUGACUUACUGCCCCUACAGCCAUUAUCAAUCACAUUCAAAGAUUAAUUUCCACCAGUAUCAUUUAUAUUGGAUCAACAAGAAGAUACAAUAUAUGCCUUCGUAAUAAAAUCUGAUAAUAAACCAAUCCAGAGGUAGUUUGUUGUUCCUUCCCAAUCUAAAUUACUGCCUGGAUAGGAGAGGAGAGAGAGUCAGAGAGAGAGUCAAAGAGUCAGAGAGAG